This 497-nucleotide ribosomal RNA is filed under the name uncultured bacterium. RNAcentral describes it as "partial 16S ribosomal RNA". It matches the Rfam family "Bacterial small subunit ribosomal RNA", at positions 28 to 507 of the family's 1533-position model. The record is from RNAcentral.
GAUGAACGCUGGCGGCGUGCCUAAUACAUGCAAGUCGAGCGAACGGACGAGAAGCUUGCUUCUCUGAUGUUAGCGGCGGACGGGUGAGUAACACGUGGAUAACCUACCUAUAAGACUGGGAUAACUUCGGGAAACCGGAGCUAAUACCGGAUAAUAUUUUGAACCGCAUGGUUCAAAAGUAAAAGACGGUCUUGCUGUCACUUAUAGAUGGAUCCGCGCUGCAUUAGCUAGUUGGUAAGGUAACGGCUUACCAAGGCAACGAUGCAUAGCCGACCUGAGAGGGUGAUCGGCCACACUGGAACUGAGACACGGUCCAGACUCCUACGGGAGGCAGCAGUAGGGAAUCUUCCGCAAUGGGCGAAAGCCUGACGGAGCAACGCCGCGUGAGUGAUGAAGGUCUUCGGAUCGUAAAACUCUGUUAUUAGGGAAGAACAUAUGUGUAAAUAACUGUGCACAUCUUGACGGUACCUAAUCAGAAAGCCACGGCUAACUACGUG